UUAGUACUCCCGUCGUCCAAAAAUUCUUGUCUUAGAUUACUCUAGAUACGGAUGUAUGUAGAUACGAAUAGAUACAUCCGUAUCUAGACUAAUCUAAGACAAGAAUUUUGGGACGGAGGGAGUAGUUU
This is a non-coding RNA of Triticum aestivum (bread wheat), 128 nucleotides long. NCBI's taxonomy places the organism in Eukaryota, Viridiplantae, Streptophyta, Magnoliopsida, Poales, Poaceae. The record is from Rfam.